Molecule: microRNA, 19 nt
Filed under: Macrophomina phaseolina MS6
Lineage: Eukaryota; Fungi; Ascomycota; Dothideomycetes; Botryosphaeriales; Botryosphaeriaceae
Description: miR-3885-5p
Source: RNAcentral
AAGGCGGCGGCGGCGGCUC